GGAAUUCGCAAAUGAGGGCUUUUUACGUGGUCAAAAGCACCUGCUUCGGAGUAUUAGUAGGAGAAAACCUGCGCACGGACAUGGUCAUCAGCAGUCACAUCAACAAAAUGCACAAAGUUCUUCCGUGGGUGCUUGUGUUGAAGUUGGGAAAUUUGGGCUUGAGGAAGAAGUAGAGAGGCUUAAGAGGGACAAGAACGUGCUUAUGCAGGAACUUGUUAGGUUGAGGCAGCAGCAGCAGGCUACUGAUAGCCAGCUGCAAACCAUGGUUCAACGUCUUCAGGGGAUGGAGCAGCGGCACCAGCAAAUGAUGGCAUUCCUGGCAAAAGCUGUGCAGAGCCCUGGUUUCCUAGCCCAGUUUGUACAGCAACAAAAUGAUAGCAAUAAACGGAUAGCUGAAGCCAACAAAAAGCGUAGGAUCAGGCAGGAAGGUGUUGCUGAAGAUGAUCAUGCUACUACUGCUGAUGGACAGAUUGUUAAGUACCAACCUUCUAUGAACGAGGCAGCAAAAUCAAUGCUUAGGAAGAUUAUAAAAAUGGAGAGUUCUCAGCUAGAAUCUUUUAACAACAAUCAUGAUAACUACCUGAUUGGAGAUGGUGCAUCGUCAUCUAAUACUGGAAGCACUUCAAGCCGUAUGUCAGGAGUAACUCUUCAAGAAGUCCCCCAAACUUCAGGACCUUAUGCGCCAGCAGCUUCUGGGAUAUUAGCGGAUGGUCCAUCAGCUGCUGCAACCGAAAGGCAAUCCUCUUCACGUUCCACAGCUUCUGAAAAGACUACAACAGAUCAGUUUCCAGAUAUUAAUUUGCUGGUAGCGGCACAAGAAGCAACCUCUCUUCCUAUUUCAGAGUCUGACGUAAUCAUGCCUGAUCUCGCUCAGAUUCCAGAAAUAAUGCCCGAAAGUAUGGAUGGUAUUCCUGCAGAAAGUUUCAUUGGAUCCAGGAUGGAGAAUGGAGGAUAUGUUGAUCCCACUUCAUUGAUAGUGAAUGGUUCAGUGCCUAUAGAAAUUGAUGACAUUUCAACUGAUGCUGAUAUUGAUGCUUUGCUAGAGAGUUCUGGCUUAUGGGAUAUUGUACACAGUCCAGUUCCCGAGGACAUUGAAUCAACCUCGGUGGAUGUCAAAACUGUGGGAAAUGAAAUGCAGGCAAUAGAGAACGGAUGGAACAAAGUCCAGAGUAUGGAUCAGCUCACGGAACAAAUGGGUCUUCUUAACUCGGAGACAAAAGAGGUCUGAUUUAAAAUGCUAAAUGUACCACUGGUUCUAUUAUCAUCUGAGGGUCAGAAAAUAGAGGGAAAAGGGGAAAAAAAUUGACAGUUCAUGAUCUACUUAUUUGGUCGAUGAAAACAGCUAAUUCCUUCUGUAGUAUCUCUUCAGCCUGGGUCUGUCGCAAUCACAUUGAAGCACCCAAUUUAGUGCCCCCCUCCUCUCUGGUAUUUGGAUGCUGCCCCAAGAUUCUAUAGUUUGUAUAGGUUGAUGUCCUCCUUCGGCGAGACAACCUUCGUUCUACCAAGGAUUGAUAUUGCUUAUAAUGAAUGCUUUCAUAAAUUUCGAUUAUAUUACCAUAAAAACUCCAAGGCAACGUCUAUUUUUGCAGUGGGGAUCACAAACCCUACUUCGGGCGCUCCAUUAUGUUCAAACACCAUUGAUAAGUAGAUAUCUAAGUCGAAGUUGCUGAGUUUAGAGAUGACGUUGCUACUAAAUGUUCAUUGGGUACAAUUCCGUCACCGCUGAAAAAAGCUCAAAUCUAAAGUGCCAAACAAAUGUACUCUUUUCUUUUUCAACAAAUGUUUAUCAGCCAGCAAGUAUAUUUCUAGCAGCAACCAGGUUAUAUUUGUUACUAACGGCUGGCCAAGAAUGUUUUAAAAACACAUUAUUGAAAAAUCGGAAGCAAUUAGAUUAAAUAUGCAUUUUAAAAAGUGCAAAGAAUGAGAGACACGUCAUAAAUCUUUAUUCACAAAAAAAUUAUCUUUUUUUCCGCUAAAAUUUCUGCAACAUAUUAGUUCACCAUCAAAAUUUUCUGAUAGAUAUAUUUUAUCACCAAAAGCUUAACACUACUAAAAAAUUAUUGAGGUCGUCAGGUAUUUAAGAAAUUUCAAGUUGAAGUUAUUUUCAUAUUUUUCUAGUUCUUUUCCGAAUUUUAUAUUUUUCUUUAGACAUUUGAUUUAGGAGCUUUUUUUUUCCCUUAUUUCAAUUAUUAAAAUUUUCCAAAAGAAAUUUUAAAAAUUGCUCUUUCGUUAUACCUAAUUUCAAAACAAUUAUGGAUGGAGAGUAAGUUUUCUUUUUGAAAGUAACAAAUAGUUAAGUUUAAGACUAUUGUUAUUCUCUUUUACCUUAAAAUAGUUGCUAAAUGUUAACAGUUAUUGACAUCUCAAUCCGGAACAUACCUAAAAGUUACCACAAUCCCGAUGCAAUGUGUGUUUUAGCUGCCAACGCUAAGCUCUCAAAUACUUUACAACUUGGCUUUUGCAAUUCAUCAUAUUAUUUCUCACACAAUUUUAGAUUUUACGAUUCUAUUGUAAAAAUCCAAAACAUAUCUUACUAUCAAUAGUAUAAGAUUCUCAAACUAUUAAUUGACAAAGCCAGUGGCUCCAGUAGAGCUACUCCACUGUGGAGAACUAACGAUGACCAUCAGAUCAUAAUAGUAAGUAUAAAUUUAAUAUUUAUCUCUAUAAUCACACAGUCAUCAUCAAGUGCUCUACCGUAAAGUAGUUUCAACAUAAUCGGAUCUAAUGACGAAUUGUAGUUAUAAAAUCUAGUAUAGAUUCAAGGCUUACCAUGAUAUACCAUAGUUAUAAAUCAAUUUGCCGUCCCUAACAAUGACAACUGCUUGCACUUAGCCAACUCAACUAUCUCCAUCGCCAUGGAAUACAUUUAAUGUGAAACAUAUCAGAGAAUUAUCAUUUGACCAAAUGGUAUAAACAAACAUAAAUAACAGAAUAUUUCAUUAGAAACCCCAGAAGGAGAACAUUUCAUUGAAAUGCUGAAUUUUCCACCAGCAGUAACGAAAUAAUAUACUCUUUAAAGAUUGAUCUUCCAUUUUCGCUAGGAACAAAGAGGCAUUUAGAGGUAUAAGGUAACUCAAUGGACACUAAUAAUAGAUACUAAAUAGCAAAGCUAUUUGAAGCACUAGAGAAUACUAAAAUGUAGAGAGUACUAAAAUGUUAUAUCUCAGCUCAAAAGGUGGACAGGUAGCAACUAAGAACUCUAGUUAGCAACUUUAGUUCAGUUUUAAUGUUUACUUCAUAUUUGGUUCACAAAAUUGUAAACCUGUUGGUUUCUUUCUAGUUCAGCUUUGAGCCAAAACCGAAUCGAACCAGAUGGUGUUGUGCAAGGUAACUGUAGAACUCUUUUAUUACUUUUGAAAGCUCUUUUAUGUUAAUUGGAUACCAGCAACCUUACAAUAAAUUAUUUCAACUUUUAACAUGUGAAUGUCAGUAAAGGACAAGAAACACAACCUCCUCCCAUGCAUAGGAGAAUUACUAUAUUUUAUUAUUUAUUAUUAUUAUUAUUAUUUUCUCUUUAAUAAUAAUGUCUUCAACUUUAUUACAAAGAGGACGUCUCACCCCUUGAGAGUUAAUUGUAGCAUGUGAUGCCAAAUAAUAACGGCGCACAAAAACUAUUUGCACAAACUUUUUUAUAGAAUUGAAUUGAUAGCUGACGUGGCAUAUGACCUAGUUAAGUGAUUGUAACUUAACGAUGUAAAAAGCAUAAGGACUAAAAAAAGUUUUAAAAAGAUUUUUUUAUUUUGUUUUUUUUUUAUAUUUCUCUCCCUUCACAUCACUAACUCCUCUGCGUUAAAGAGUAUAGUAAUGAUUGUGACAUAGAGGCUUGAUGCAUUGCGAUCAUGAAAAGGAAGGUGAUAUAGAGGUUUGAUUAAUUGCAAAGCAUUAUAAGCCUUGUAGUUUAGUCAGCAGCUUAGUAAACUUAGUUAUGUUGACGUGGAAAGUUAGUUAUGACAAGAUUUGAUGAUUGUUUGACAUGAACCCCGCUAAGAACUUAUGCGACCCUAAUCAAUUUAGUUUCUAAGAUUAAAUCUAAACCUAUAAUUUAAUGAAACUGCGAUCCGAUGCUCAAUGAAAGCAUGAAUUUUGAUAUGUGAGGUCGCCACAAUCAGUUAUGGAUGAUCUAAUUGAUAAUUAAGAGUUUGAACACCACAAAAAUCUGAUAAGUUCAAAGAGUUUGUUUAAAAACUAAAAAGAAUUAACUCUCUCACUAAUUGCAUCAAAACCGAUCUAUCUCUAUUUAUUGGAUAGGAGUACAUUAAAUAGGUUGGUUACAAGAAUUUUUGGAAAUAAAUCGUACACCAAAAUCAAAUCGGAAUCUUAAUUUAAAGCAAAUAAGGAAAGAAUAUAAAUCAAAUCAUAAUCUUAAUCUAAGCGAAUGGGAAAGAAUCUAAAUCAAACCCGAAUCUUAAUCGGCUUAAAUGCCUUACAUCAAUUAAAAUAUAAACUCGAAAAUUAAAAGCGAAAUAACUGAUUUGUUUCUAGAGAAAUGGAAAAGUGUCCAAAAAGAAAAUUAGUAUAUUUUCCAAAUGGAAAAAUAUCUAAAAAAGAAAAAUAAUAUAUUUUCCCACCAUAAUGUGCAAGCCAACUUUCCAUUUCAUGGAAGUGAUUAUUUGGAAACUUUAAGAGCCUAAAUCAUGCAUUUAUCAUGUUCGAUUCCUUCAACGGGGCUCCACGAAUUUGAUUGAGCACAAGUUGCUUAAAUCAACCCAUUAAAUGGUUCUUUGAAUUUCUUUGCUCGAACUUUUGCGACUGAUCCGACAUGAACUUAAAUAGAAUCUGAAUAUACCUUAUCUCAUGUGCUUGUGACAAUUUUGUCCUAAAUCUCACCAUUCCCCUCCUCUUGAAAAGGAUUUGUCACCAAAUCAUCAUUUGCAUGAAAAUGACUCAAAUUAGAAACAUUAAAAGUAGCACUUACGUUAUACUCAUUGGGCAAAUCCAACUUGUAUGCAUUGUCAUUGAUCCAUUCUAAAACUUGGAAAGGACCAUCCCUUCGAGGUAAUAACUUAGAUUUACUCUGUUUCGGAAAUCGUUCAUUGCCCAUGUGUAAGCACACCUAAUCGUUGGGUUCAAAAACUAGCUUAUGUUGUCCUUUGUUGGCUUGUUUAACAUAUUGUUCAGUUCUUCACUCAAUGUUGAACUUCGCCAUCUCAUGUAUUUGUUUAAUAGUUUCAGCAUUUUUCUUGCCAUCUAAGUUAACAUGCUUAGAAACAGGUAGUGGAGUUAAAUCCAAUGGGGUUAAAGGAUCAAAACCAUAAACAAAAUUUAAACGGUGAAUACUUAGUAGUAGAAUAAACAGCUGCUGUACCGUACAUCCGCCUUGGCCGUACAGCAGUACAAAGAGCUUCUUUAAUGUAACGCCUUUUUUUUUUUACAGGGGGGGAAGAAAACCCUAAUUGUUUUAUAGUGAAAAAAAAGUUAAAAUUUUUAGUGUGAUUAAUUCACGAAUUUGUUAGCAUGGAUGGAGCCGCCAACAGGGGCGGAGGCGCUGGUGAUCCAUCGGCGACUGGUGGUGGUGGUACGCCUCCAUCGCAGCCGAC
RNAcentral lists this long non-coding RNA (5537 nucleotides) under Citrus sinensis (sweet orange). RNAcentral describes it as "long non-coding RNA (CSIN_LNC003164)". The record is from RNAcentral. Lineage: Eukaryota; Viridiplantae; Streptophyta; Magnoliopsida; Sapindales; Rutaceae.